This 460-nucleotide ribosomal RNA is filed under the name uncultured bacterium. RNAcentral describes it as "partial 16S ribosomal RNA". It matches the Rfam family "Bacterial small subunit ribosomal RNA", at positions 338 to 795 of the family's 1533-position model. The record is from RNAcentral.
ACUACGGGCGGCAGCAGUGAGGAAUAUUGGUCAAUGGGCGCGAGCCUGAACCAGCCAAGUAGCGUGAAGGAUGACUGCCCUACGGGUUGUAAACUUCUUUUAUAAAGGAAUAAAGUGAGGCACGUGUGCCUUUUUGUAUGUACUUUAUGAAUAAGGAUCGGCUAACUCCGUGCCAGCAGCCGCGGUAAUACGGAGGAUCCGAGCGUUAUCCGGAUUUAUUGGGGUUAAAGGGGGGGUAGAUGGGUUGUUAAGUCAGUUGUGAAAGUUUUAGGAUCAAACGUAAAAUUGCAAUUGAUACUGGCAGUCUUGAGUACAGGUGAGGUAGGCGGAAUGCGUGGUGUAGCGGUGAAAUGCUUAGAUAUCACGAAGAACUCCGAUUGCGAAGGCAGCUUACUAAACUGCCACUGACAUUGAUGCUCGAAAGUGUGGGUAUCAAACAGGAUUAGAUACCCCAGUAGUC